AAGACAUCUAUGUUCAAGGAGCCUUCAGCCUUCAGGGGAGACACGUCAUUUCCAUCCAGGAGCGGGGGGGUUGUGGUUUUGGAUUCAUUGGAGACAGUUCUGGCUAGAAAGAAAAGGUUGUAUUGUGGAAAGUUUGAACAUCCGCCAGAAGGGUUUGGGCAUUUUCCCUGAGCACAGUGGGGCCAUAAUCAGUUUAAGAAAGGGGAAGAGAGGCAGUGGAAUUAAGUUGUAGAAAAAUUAUUUUCAGGGUGUCAGACUGGAUCGAGGAGGGAGAAAUGGAAAUAUCUGAAUUAAGAUAGGUGGUGAAGGGAGAAGACUUGGGCUUCAGCCUAGUUACGGGAAGAGCACAUAGAGGAACAGGGUGCCAGGAUAGUUGGUCUGGCAGUACUUAUGCAAGUAUAGUAUUGACACGUUUAAAAACCCAUUUGAUCAUUGCAACAAUCCCCUGGACCAGGCAGGAAUGCGAUUUGAACCCUACAUGGAUGCAGCUGCUUAGGAAAUUGGAAAAGUGCGAGUUACAUGCUCAUGAAGGUGGAGAAGCUGGUUUGACGGUAGGGAGCAUCUGGAGUCAGGAGGGAGGUGGGUGAGACGAAGUCUAGACACGAUUGUCGCCCACUGAACACGCAUUGGCUCAAGAAGGGGAUUUAGAGACAGGAGAGUGGAAGCUAAGAAACUCUUUCUUGGAGCAGACACAGACUCCAGGAAGGGAGAGAAUUGUGUCAAGUGUGAGAAAGGUCUUAUUGGUGGCAAAAAGGUCAUAGUGAACUUUUGUGAGAGGGGUAAAAAUAGUUCUAGUUUGGAAAGCACUAAGUCAGAUGGGAUGGUGAGGGAUUUCAAAGUCAGUGGGUGGGCAAUGAUGAUAAAGAGGCUGUGAUUUAAACCGAGUUUAGUAAGA
Molecule: long non-coding RNA, 895 nt
Filed under: Marmota monax (woodchuck)
Lineage: Eukaryota; Metazoa; Chordata; Mammalia; Rodentia; Sciuridae
Source: RNAcentral